UUCGAGUGGCGGACGGGUGAGUAACGCGUGGGUAACCUGCCUUACACAGGGGGAUAACACCUGGAAACAGGUGCUAAUACCGCAUAAGCGCACAGGGCCGCAUGGCCCGGUGUGAAAAACUCCGGUGGUAUACGAUGGAUCCGCGUCUGAUUAGCUGGUUGGCGGGGUAAAGGCCCACCAAGGCGACGAUCAGUAGCCGGCCUGAGAGGGUGAACGGCCACAUUGGGACUGAGACACGGCCCAAACUCCUACGGAAGGCAGCAG
This 264-nucleotide ribosomal RNA is filed under the name uncultured bacterium. Its description in RNAcentral is "partial 16S ribosomal RNA". It matches the Rfam family "Bacterial small subunit ribosomal RNA", at positions 90 to 354 of the family's 1533-position model. The record is from RNAcentral.